AACGCGAAGAACCUUACCUGGGCUUGAACCGCACAGGACCCUCCCUAGAAAUAGGGACUUCCCGCAAGGGACCUGUGUAGAGGUGCUGCAUGGCUGUCGUCAGCUCGUGCCGUGAGGUGUUGGGUUAAGUCCCGCAACGAGCGCAACCCUUACUCAUAGUUGCUACCCGCAAGGGAGAACUCUAUGAGGACUGCUCCGGAUAACGGAGAGGAAGGUGGGGAUGAGGUCAAGUCAGCAGUCGUACUU
RNAcentral lists this ribosomal RNA (246 nucleotides) under uncultured bacterium. RNAcentral's name for it is "partial 16S ribosomal RNA". It matches the Rfam family "Bacterial small subunit ribosomal RNA", at positions 958 to 1203 of the family's 1533-position model. The record is from RNAcentral.